Molecule: ribosomal RNA, 455 nt
Filed under: uncultured bacterium
Lineage: Bacteria
Description: bacterial SSU rRNA
Rfam family: Bacterial small subunit ribosomal RNA
Source: RNAcentral
UACGGGAGGCAGCAGUAGGGAAUCUUCGGCAAUGGGGGAACCCUGACCGAGCAACGCCGCGUGAGUGAAGAAGGUUUUCGGAUCGUAAAGCUCUGUUGUAAGAGAAGAACGUGUGUGAGAGUGGAAAGUUCACACAGUGACGGUAACUUACCAGAAAGGGACGGCUAACUACGUGCCAGCAGCCGCGGUAAUACGUAGGUCCCGAGCGUUGUCCGGAUUUAUUGGGCGUAAAGCGAGCGCAGGCGGUUUGAUAAGUCUGAAGUAAAAGGCUGUGGCUUAACCAUAGUAUGCUUUUGGAAACUGUCAAACUUGAGUGCAGAAGGGGAGAGUGGAAUUCCAUGUGUAGCGGUGAAAUGCGUAGAUAUAUGGAGGAACACCGGUGGCGAAAGCGGCUCUCUGGUCUGUAACUGACGCUGAGGCUCGAAAGCGUGGGGAGCAAACAGGGAUUAGAUACC